Non-coding RNA from Sus scrofa (pig), 1031 nucleotides. Lineage: Eukaryota; Metazoa; Chordata; Mammalia; Artiodactyla; Suidae. The record is from RefSeq and is a predicted model, not a curated record.
UUGUCAUCCCCAAUUUACAGACACAGAAACUGAAGCAGAGAGGUGAAGUGACUUGCCCAGUGCACACAGCCAAAGGAAGCUUCCUAAAGCAGAGGACCAGAGGGCUGCCUUCUUAGCCUGACUGUGCCCACCUCAGCUUUCUCCAGGAUCCAGUAGGAGCCUCCACACAGGGAGCAGGCCUGCAGGUUCCUUAUCUGGAAAAGGGGCUAAUAACCCUGCCCUUGGUAUUGAAAGUAAAGAACCUUGUGGCUGAGCAAUGCCUGGCAAAGUGAUGCCAAGGUUUAAAGGGGCAAGUGAUCUCCCCAGAGGUGAACAGGGCUCCCACUCUGGCCUCUGCAGGAAACGUCAGACUUCACCGCAGCUUCCUGCCGGCAGAUGAACUGCUAGGGCAAUGGGUGCUCACAGCCCCUGCCCCUCUUCACCUUUGAGCACUGAGAGCUCCGUCACCCCUCCAUCCACCCUCCCGCCGCCGCUGCAGUGUCUGUAACUGCUUCCGCAGGAUGGAGACAAGUGGCCAGACUGUCCUCCCACACAGACCCCUGCAGCCAAGGUCCUGGGUGUGGAGAAAUUCAGCAUACCAGAGGCCUGGGCACCAUUGUUGGUCACCUGGCCAUCCUUCCUGCCACUGUCUCCUGGUAUCUGUCCACCCCAGAGGGAGAGAUGAGACUCAUCAUCUUUAUCACAAAGGACCUUCUCCAGGGUUGUCUCUGCACCCAGGCUUCUUCCUCACUCAUUCAUUACACAAGCCUCGCUCUAGGACCAGCCGUGCUGGUACUGGCGGAUGGAAGAAGAAUGACCCAGGCUUUCCUUCAGCUCCUCCCCACAGUGAGACUUUCUCAGUCACAGCAGACACCCCUGAUGGAGCAGCCAUGUCUCUCCCCUCAGAGCACCCCUCCUGGGCUGUCCUGCUGACUGUGAGGCCGGUCUUCUCCCUCUGGGACUGACUCCACCAAGAGGUUCGAACCCCAGCUCUGCUUUUCUGCUGCCUGGAACGGUCCCGCUGGGAAAGCAGGGGUGGGGACUGGCACAGA